GAUGAACGCUGGCGGCGUGCCUAAUACAUGCAAGUCGAGCGAACAGACGAGGAGCUUGCUCCUCUGACGUUAGCGGCGGACGGGUGAGUAACACGUGGAUAACCUACCUAUAAGACUGGGAUAACUUCGGGAAACCGGAGCUAAUACCGGAUAAUAUAUUGAACCGCAUGGUUCAAUAGUGAAAGACGGUUUUGCUGUCACUUAUAGAUGGAUCCGCGCCGCAUUAGCUAGUUGGUAAGGUAACGGCUUACCAAGGCAACGAUGCGUAGCCGACCUGAGAGGGUGAUCGGCCACACUGGAACUGAGACACGGUCCAGACUACUACGGGAGGCAGCAGUAGGGAAUCUUCCGCAAUGGGCGAAAGCCUGACGGAGCAACGCCGCGUGAGUGAUGAAGGUCUUCGGAUCGUAAAACUCUGUUAUUAGGGAAGAACAAAUGUGUAAGUAACUAUGCACGUCUUGACGGUACCUAAUCAGAAAGCCACGGCUAACUACGUG
This 497-nucleotide ribosomal RNA is filed under the name uncultured bacterium. RNAcentral describes it as "partial 16S ribosomal RNA". It matches the Rfam family "Bacterial small subunit ribosomal RNA", at positions 28 to 507 of the family's 1533-position model. The record is from RNAcentral.